Molecule: transfer RNA, 73 nt
Filed under: Stegodyphus mimosarum
Lineage: Eukaryota; Metazoa; Arthropoda; Arachnida; Araneae; Eresidae
Rfam family: tRNA
About the family: Transfer RNA (tRNA) molecules are approximately 80 nucleotides in length. Their secondary structure includes four short double-helical elements and three loops (D, anti-codon, and T loops). Further hydrogen bonds mediate the characteristic L-shaped molecular structure. tRNAs have two regions of fundamental functional importance: the anti-codon, which is responsible for specific mRNA codon recognition, and the 3' end, to which the tRNAs corresponding amino acid is attached (by aminoacyl-tRNA synthetases). tRNAs cope with the degeneracy of the genetic code in two manners: having more than one tRNA (with a specific anti-codon) for a particular amino acid; and 'wobble' base-pairing, i.e. permitting non-standard base-pairing at the 3rd anti-codon position.
Source: Rfam by way of RNAcentral
GCUUUCGUGGUGUAGUGGUCAGCACGCUCGACGCGUAACCCAGAGUUCCGUAGUUCGAUUCCCGGCGAAGGCG